Molecule: long non-coding RNA, 1203 nt
Filed under: Salmo salar (Atlantic salmon)
Lineage: Eukaryota; Metazoa; Chordata; Actinopteri; Salmoniformes; Salmonidae
Description: lncRNA (ENSSSAG00000102166.1)
Source: RNAcentral
UCUGUGCACCCGGACUAGGCCUACUGAUGUCCUGUUCAGUUUGAUUGGGAGAGCGCGAAGAUGAGGAGGACCGGAGGCUACUAACAACAAGAGGGCUUUGUGUUGGAGCCUAUUUCUUCCUAUUCAAGAAAUAAGAGCGCCUCACAAUCAUCACAGGAAACAGCAGAGGGAGCACACCCCUAUCCAAAUUGAUGGGACCACAGUGGAGAAGGUGGAAAGCUUCAAGUUCCUCGGCGUACACAUCACUGACAACUGAAAUGGUCCACCCACACAGACAGUGUGGUGAAGAAGGUGCAACAGACUGUUUUUCAGUCUCUCAGUCCCAGCUUUGACACACCUGUACUAACCUCGCCUUCUGGAUCGUAGCGGGGUGAACAGACAGUGGCUUGGGUGGUUGAUGUCCUUGAUUAACUUUUUGGCCUUCCUAUGGCAUCGGUGAAGAGGUGCAACAGCAACUCUUCAACCUCAGGAGGCUAAAGAAAUUUGGCUUAACACCUAAAAUCCUCAUUAACUUUUACAGAGCAUCCUGUCGGGCUGCAUCACCGCCUGGUAUGGCAACUGCACUGCCCACAACCACAAAGCUCUCCAGAGAUUGGUGUGGUCUGCCCAAUGCAUUACCGGGGGCAAACAUCCCGCCCUCCUGGACACCUACAGCACCCGAUGCCAUAGGAAGGCCAAAAAGAUAAUCAAGGACAUCAACCACCUGUCACGACUUACGCCGAAGUUGGUGCCUCUCCUUGUUCGGGCGACGUUCGGCGGUCGUCGUCACCAGCUUUCUAACUGCCACCAAUCCACGUUUCUUUUUCCAUUUGUUAUGUCUUGAUUGUUCACACCUGGUUCCCAUUAUGUUAUUAUUAUUUCCCUAUUUAACCCUCUGGUUCUCAUUAUGUUUUGUGCAUGAUUGUUUCAUGGUUUUUGUGUUAGUCGUUCGUGUUAGGGUUGUUAUCCCUGAGUGGAUUUUUGGAUAAUUAUUUUUCAGAGUAAAGUACGUUAUUUUACUCAGUUCUGUGUCCUGCGCCUGACUCCAUCCUCAACUCCACACAACUGACACUUGACACCACCAAAGCCACUGCCUGUUCACCCCGCUAUCAUCCAGAAGGCGAGGUUAAUACAGGUGCCUCAAAGCUGGGACUGAGAGACUGAAAAACAGCUUCAAUCUCAAGUCCAUCAGACUGCUAAACAGCCACCACUAGCACAUCAGAG